This 465-nucleotide ribosomal RNA is filed under the name uncultured bacterium. Its description in RNAcentral is "partial 16S ribosomal RNA". It matches the Rfam family "Bacterial small subunit ribosomal RNA", at positions 28 to 507 of the family's 1533-position model. The record is from RNAcentral.
GACGAACGCUGGCGGCGUGCUUAACACAUGCAAGUCGAACGGAAAGGCCCCAGCUUGCUGGGGUACUCGAGUGGCGAACGGGUGAGUAACACGUGGGUGAUCUGCCCUGCACUCUGGGAUAAGCCUGGGAAACUGGGUCUAAUACCGGAUAGGACCGUGCUUUAGUGUGUGCGGUGGAAAGUUUUUCGGUGCAGGAUGAGCCCGCGGCCUAUCAGCUUGUUGGUGGGGUAAUGGCCUCCCAAGGCGGCGACGGGUAGCCGGCCUGAGAGGGUGUACGGCCACAUUGGGACUGAGACACGGCCCAGACUCCUACGGGAGGCAGCAGUGGGGAAUAUUGCACAAUGGGCGCAAGCCUGAUGCAGCGACGCCGCGUGGGGGAUGACGGCCUUCGGGUUGUAAACCCCUUUCGGCAGGGACGAAGCUUUUGUGACGGUACCUGCAUAAGAAGCACCGGCUAACUACGUG